This 274-nucleotide ribosomal RNA is filed under the name uncultured bacterium. RNAcentral describes it as "partial 16S ribosomal RNA". It matches the Rfam family "Bacterial small subunit ribosomal RNA", at positions 523 to 796 of the family's 1533-position model. The record is from RNAcentral.
AUACGAAGGUCCCAAGCGUUAUUCGGAAUCACUGGGCGUAAAGAGUACGUAGGCGGUUUGGUAAGUCAGGUGUGAAAUCCCGAAGCUCAACUUCGGAACUGCAUCCGAUACUGCCAGACUAGAGUAAUGGAGAGGCAGGUGGAAUUCUCGGUGUAGCAGUGAAAUGCGUGGAUAUCGAGAGGAAGACCGAUGGCGAAGGCAGCCUGCUGGACAUUUACUGACGCUGAGGUACGAAGGCUAGGGGAGCGAAAGGGAUUAGAAACCCCGGUAGUCC